GAUCAUGAUAAAUGACUGAACAUUUUAAGAUUGUUGUUGCUCUUCAACCAAAAAAGACAGUUUAAUUUGUCACUUUUAUCAUAUCGAUUGAUUGAUAAAAUGUACCAGGUUUCCUGAAAAAAAGCGAUAAAAAAUAUCCUUCUAAUAUGUACACCACUCGGAUUCGAAUGAAUCGAAAUUGAUUUUUUGAAUUUACUAUAUGAACGCCAUCUAUUGACAAUGGAAAUAUUGAUUCGAAUAUUUUUAAAACGGCCAAAUUGACGGUUCUCCAUUAUCGCACACACACAUUUUCUCACUGUGUGUCUAUUUGGUCAGAGGGAGAGAGAGAGAGAGAGGGAGAGAGGCAACAAUUGUGUUAACACCAUCCAUUCAGCAAUUUUCAUCAUCAUUAAUUUUUCAAUCGUUUGUUGAAAACUUCUAAUGUUCAAAAAAAGAAAAAAAGAAAAAUUAUUAAGCAAAAAAAAAAAAACUUGUACAUGGUGAGCACAACAUCAUCAUAUACACCACAAAAAACCAGUGUUUUUUUCACUUGUUCAUCAUGAUCAACGAAAAGAAGCAGCAGUAUCAAUAACAACUAUAACAACUGCAACAACAACAAAAACAAAGUUUUAUAUCCCCUUUUUGUCUAAAUGAAAUGUUCGGUUAUUAUUUUGUUCACAUUAAAAUUCCGAGAUUUCUUUUUCAUUUCUUUCGUAAUCCAAAACAAAAACGAAACUACGACUACGACCUAAAACCUUGUGUUGUUAUGAUAAUGAUCAUAUAGUGUGUAGACAAAUAAUAGUUGGUUUUAACACAUAUCAUCAUCAAAUCAUCUUCUAUCUAUAUGUGGUGUGUUUAUUUGUAAAAUAUAAAUAUAAAUGAAGAAUGAUAUUGAUUGAUUAAUUGAUUUGAUCGAUCAAUCCAGUCAUUGAUUGAUUCAAAAUUAUCAACAAACCGAAAGUAUUUGUUUGGUGGUGUACAAAAUCUAUAUAUUUUUUACAAUCAUUCUUUUCUCACUCUGAUCAUCAUCAUCACCCAUCGUUCAUUCAUUCAUUUUUUUAU
Molecule: non-coding RNA, 1041 nt
Organism: Dermatophagoides farinae (American house dust mite)
Lineage: Eukaryota; Metazoa; Arthropoda; Arachnida; Sarcoptiformes; Pyroglyphidae
Source: RefSeq, a predicted model, not a curated record